RNAcentral lists this non-coding RNA (23 nucleotides) under Arabidopsis thaliana (thale cress). The record is from RNAcentral. Lineage: Eukaryota; Viridiplantae; Streptophyta; Magnoliopsida; Brassicales; Brassicaceae.
ACACAGGAGAGCGUCCAGUGUGU